This 1454-nucleotide long non-coding RNA is filed under the name Marmota monax (woodchuck). Lineage: Eukaryota; Metazoa; Chordata; Mammalia; Rodentia; Sciuridae. The record is from RNAcentral.
GUGAGGGGCGUGGCGCGGUGAUGUUCCCGCGCCUGCGGCUCCCAGGCCCCCCUUCCCCUACGACCCGGGCGCCUAGACCGUCCCUGCGGAAGGAGCCGAGGGGAAGCCUCCCUGCUCGCGGGAUCCGGGGCCCGGGAGCCCAUGGGCCGCGAUGAGCCCGCCCGUCCCGUUCCCCCACAGGUCCCCGUUCUGAGGGUCAGCGCGGCCUUCUAGAAGGUCCGGGACGGAUUCGUAGCGCUCCCAGGGAGAUUGGGAGACGGGGAAGGAGAACUGGCGACCUCACGGGGGCUGGCGGGGUAGCACGGCCGCCCCACCUCGGGCCCCGCCCACUCGGGCCCGAGCUCUCUGGCGCCGCCUGUGGUGAGCUUCACGGCCCCGGGGCCCCGACGUGUGGCGGCCCCUCUCUAUCCCAGCCCGCCGCGUUCGCCGAAUGCUCCUGAGCGUGUCUCUGGGCGGGUUCGCUGCCAAGCACGGACGCCCCCUCCUCCUGCACACAGGGUGCUGUGCACAGUAGGGCGGAGCGGGCAGCCUGGUCGCGGGAGGACGUGGCGCCUGUCAGAGGCGUGUGUCCACGCUUCUGGAGAUGGGGACGCAGGAAGGUGACAGUCUCCCAGUGUCACUCGACAGGGUGGUCUGCCACGGGGGAUUCCUGUUGUGCGCCAGGACGACCAGUGGUUGGGCACCGGCUGGGGCCCUCUCACUUCCUGGGGAGGUAGGUCAAGGUGAGCCCCGCAGAGAAAGCCCUGCAAACGGGAACCCGCCCUCCCCCCGCCCCUCCCCCCGUGCUUCCCACGCUGCAGCGUGCCUGGGAACACCUGCCGAACUGGUUCCCACUAAGGAGCCUGGAAAGGCUGGUUGCCGCCUUCCUUCCCUGGCAGGCGGAGCCUCCCAGCUUCUGGGUGUUGCUGCACAGGCCUUCCCGCGGCGUGGGGCACGGACACCCACCCCGAAGACUGCUGGGCUCCACCACACUGCCCUGGUUGGUCUUCCUGCAGGUCCAGGGGCUGCCUGUAGUUUAGUCACCUAGCUGAGCACUGAGCGCUGAGCGAAACAGCAGUCUUGGAAGCCCACGGUCUCCAAUAGAGUCGCUUGCCCGGUGUGGAAGCCCUUUGCGUUUCCGUUCCUCUCCUCUGUCCCUAUUGCUACUUGGUCAUCUGCCUUUUUGCUUGUUGGUUGGCUCCAGGUCUCUACCUGGUAACACAGGAGCCCUCGAUCACAUCUUGAAGCUCGCUUUCGCCACUCUGUCAAGUCUUUCACACACUGGUUUGAGAAGUUGUUGGGGGUCAAGUAGAAAAUUUUAGUCUUCGUAUCAUUGCAAUUCCCAGGCUUUUCCUAAUGGUUUCUGGGGUUUCUUUGCCUUGGGCUAACUGGGCAAGCUCCCCCAGUUAAAACCCUGUGCAUCUGGCUUUUAUGUCCCAGGUCAGGGGGCCCCCUGGAGUUUGGCUCUGGCUCAG